GAUGAAGAACGCAGCGAAAUGCGAUAAGUAAUGUGAAUUGCAGAAUUCAGUGAAUCAUCGAAUCUUUGAACGCACAUUGCGCCCGCUGGUAUUCCGGCGGGCAUGCCUGUUCGAGCGUCAUUUCAACCCUCAAGCUCUCCGGAGUUUGGUGUUGGGGCGCCUGGGGCUUUUCGACCUCAGGGCCCUCAAGUCCAUCGGCGGGGCCGCCAGGACACUGAGCGCAGUAGUAUUAUUUCGCUCGGUAGGAUCUUCCACGGCGGGUCGAUCUGGCCGCUAAACCCCCCAAUUCUCACCAAAGGUUGACCUCGGAUCAGGUAGGAAUACCCGCUGAACUUAAGCAUAUCAAUAAGCGGAGGA
RNAcentral lists this unclassified non-coding RNA (357 nucleotides) under soil metagenome. RNAcentral describes it as "partial contains 5.8S ribosomal RNA, internal transcribed spacer 2, and large subunit ribosomal RNA". The stretch from base 1 to 120 matches the Rfam family "5.8S ribosomal RNA", at positions 35 to 154 of the family's 154-position model. The record is from RNAcentral.